Zonotrichia leucophrys gambelii is the source of this 488-nucleotide long non-coding RNA. RefSeq lists it as uncharacterized. The transcript is spliced from 5 exons. Lineage: Eukaryota; Metazoa; Chordata; Aves; Passeriformes; Passerellidae. The record is from RefSeq and is a predicted model, not a curated record.
UGGGUUAGGUGGGUGAGGAGAGAGUUGGAGUUUGUUGGCUGUGCUGUGAAGAAGAAGGGGUCAGUGCUGUGAGGAGCUGCAGGUGAGAGCAGCAGUUGCUUUGCUUUCCUCAGGGAGAUUGCAAGUUUGGCAGCUCUUAUGCCAGGAGAGAAGGAAAAAGCAAAGGGGGAAAGGUCUGCUCCCUAGGAGAUGCAGGCCACAGGAUCAGAGUCACAAGCAUCUUUAUCAAGCCCCAAACCCUUCAGGAGAGACAUCUGUCCUUGAUUGAAGGCUCUGAGGGGUAGAGUCCAGCAUUCACCUAAAUUUUCCCAAUGUUUAUCAUCUGAGGCAGAUAUUUGGAGUUCUAUUGUAAACAGGGAACUAAAAUGUGUCCUCUGUCAAGAAGAAAGAAAAAGCUUCUGACCAUAAUCACAAGGUCCCCCUCUCUGGCAGUCUCCAGACUUUACCUCAGUUUUCUCUUUGGGCAAGGCUACAAAAUUGUUUCCAGG